This 465-nucleotide ribosomal RNA is filed under the name uncultured bacterium. RNAcentral describes it as "partial 16S ribosomal RNA". It matches the Rfam family "Bacterial small subunit ribosomal RNA", at positions 338 to 795 of the family's 1533-position model. The record is from RNAcentral.
CCUACGGGUGGCAGCAGUAGGGAAUCUUCCACAAUGGGCGAAAGCCUGAUGGAGCAACGCCGCGUGGGUGAAGAAGGUCUUCGGAUCGUAAAACCCUGUUGUUAGAGAAGAAAGUGCGUGAGAGUAACUGUUCACGUUUCGACGGUAUCUAACCAGAAAGCCACGGCUAAAUACGUGCCAGCAGCCGCGGUAAUACGGAGGUGGCAAGCGUUAUCCGGAAUUUUUGGGGGUAAAGGCAACGCAGGCGGUCUUUUAAGUCUGGUGUGAAAGCCGUGGGCUUAAACGGAGUUGGGCAUUGGAAACUGGGAGACUUGAGUGUAGAAGAGGAGAGUGGAACUCCAUGUGUAGCGGUGAAAUGCGUAGAUAUAUGGAAGAACACCAGUGGCGAAAGCGGCUCUCUGGUCUGUAACUGACGCUGAGGUUCGAAAGCGUGGGUAGCAAACAGGAUUAGAUACCCUUGUAGUC